UACGUGAAACCGUUCAGGGGUAAACGGGAGAAAUCCUGAAUUCGAAAGGGGUCUGGAUUCACCCGGCUCGGGGAGGCGUUGGGCGGCCCCGCGCCAGAUGGCUGCCGGUUCGCCCGCGGCGCGAGGUGACUCGCCCGCGGGGUCGCUUCCGGCCGGCCACUCGGCGCGGUCGGCGACAUGCUCCGGCCACCCGCCGGUGCACUUCCUCCCUAGUAGAAACGUCGCGACCCGUUGGGUGCCGGCCUCAGGGCCCGGGAAGGCGGCCCGACCGGGGGGAUCUGUUCGCCGUUCCGCGGUGCCAGGUUCCUUUCCCGGUCGGACUCCCGGAUCGCCCGGCCGGCUGCCCGACGGUAGGACCAGAAGGAGUCGACCCGCUGCGACCCGCGAAGCACCAUGGUUGUGAAGCGUCCGAACCGGCGCCGGUUACCGCUGCGGGGCCAUCGGGGUGUUCAACAGUGCGUGUGUUCCACUGUCCCCCCCUCGCACGCGCGUCCGGCGUCGGACCUUCUCGGACGGGGUCGGUAAGCUCCCGUCCGCGACGCCCAUCUUCGGAUGG
This 556-nucleotide ribosomal RNA is filed under the name Baculofractum insigne. RNAcentral describes it as "partial 28S large subunit ribosomal RNA". RNAcentral also lists the same sequence under 1 other name. The record is from RNAcentral. Lineage: Eukaryota; Metazoa; Arthropoda; Insecta; Phasmatodea; Lonchodidae.